This 611-nucleotide unclassified non-coding RNA is filed under the name Hevea brasiliensis (rubber tree). The record is from RNAcentral. Lineage: Eukaryota; Viridiplantae; Streptophyta; Magnoliopsida; Malpighiales; Euphorbiaceae.
UUGGUUGUACAAUUAUGAUCACCUACAAAAAGAAAUGUCAUCCAACUAAAUAGAUAUCACCAAAGCAUAUUGGUGUCAUAUAAAUCAUUAAUAAUGUGAUCUUCAAAUAAACCAUCACAAAAAAAUUGAAUCACUAUUAUUGAUCAAUUCAAGCUGUAAUAGCAUAAGAAAUAAAGAAUUUCGUAAGAUUAAACGUCAGACUGGCUAAUAUGACAGAUAGUAAUACUUAAUAUGAUCUUGUUAACAGAAUACGGACUGUUUGGCCACAAUUGUCCUCCUUUCUCUAUGGAAGUCGCAAUUUUAUUCCUUAUCAAUGUUUCCCUUCAAAAAAUGGGAAAAGGGUUCUUUCCUUUAGUAUAAAGCAAGAUUUAUGACAAUAAAAACUUAAUUUGAAAAAACAAAAAUUACUACAAUUAAACAAUGAGAAAACACCAACCAAUGAAACACUUCAACCACGCAAUUCCAUAAAAACUAGGCAUUACAAUUAUAUCGCAAAACCAAAUCCAAGAAAAGUACACAAGAAAAUAAAAAGAUCAAACCAGGAAUAUGCACGGAUCAUUCAGAAUACCAGGUCUCCGAGCUAUAAAAUUGACAAAACAGACAGGGAAAGU